AGUGAACGCUGGCGGUAGGCCUAACACAUGCAAGUCGAACGGCAGCACAGUAAGAGCUUGCUCUUACGGGUGGCGAGUGGCGGACGGGUGAGGAAUACAUCGGAAUCUACUUUUUCGUGGGGGAUAACGUAGGGAAACUUACGCUAAUACCGCAUACGACCUACGGGUGAAAGCAGGGGAUCUUCGGACCUUGCGCGAUUGAAUGAGCCGAUGUCGGAUUAGCUAGUUGGCGGGGUAAAGGCCCACCAAGGCGACGAUCCGUAGCUGGUCUGAGAGGAUGAGCCGGCACGAUGGGACGGAAGACCGGACCAGCCUCCAGCGGGGGGCAGGAGGGGGGAAUGUGGGAAAAGGGGGGAAAGCGUGACCAGGCCAGGCCGGGGGGGGGAAGAAGGCCUUGGGGUUGAAAAGCCCUUUUGUGGGGAAAAAAAAGCAGCAGGUUAAUACCCCGUUGUUCUGGGGGAACCCAAAAAAAAAGCCCCGGAAAACUUUG
This 490-nucleotide ribosomal RNA is filed under the name uncultured bacterium. RNAcentral's name for it is "partial 16S ribosomal RNA". It matches the Rfam family "Bacterial small subunit ribosomal RNA", at positions 30 to 505 of the family's 1533-position model. The record is from RNAcentral.